This 107-nucleotide small nuclear RNA is filed under the name Balaenoptera musculus (blue whale). The record is from RNAcentral. Lineage: Eukaryota; Metazoa; Chordata; Mammalia; Artiodactyla; Balaenopteridae.
GUGCUCGCUUCGGCAGCACAUAUACUAAAACUGGAACAAUACAGAGAAGAUUAGCAUCGCCCCUGUGCAAGAAUGACAUGCAAAUUCGUGAAGUGUUCCAUAUUUAA